RNAcentral lists this ribosomal RNA (1434 nucleotides) under Salmonella enterica. RNAcentral's name for it is "partial 23S ribosomal RNA". It matches the Rfam family "Bacterial large subunit ribosomal RNA", at positions 690 to 2023 of the family's 2925-position model. The record is from RNAcentral. RNAcentral also lists the same sequence under 3 other names. Lineage: Bacteria; Pseudomonadati; Pseudomonadota; Gammaproteobacteria; Enterobacterales; Enterobacteriaceae.
GGGCGUUAAGUUGCAGGGUAUAGACCCGAAACCCGGUGAUCUAGCCAUGGGCAGGUUGAAGGUUGGGUAACACUAACUGGAGGACCGAACCGACUAAUGUUGAAAAAUUAGCGGAUGACCUGUGGCUGGGGGUGAAAGGCCAAUCAAACCGGGAGAUAGCUGGUUCUCCCCGAAAGCUAUUUAGGUAGCGCCUCGUGAAUUCAUCUCCGGGGGUAGAGCACUGUUUCGGCUAGGGGGCCAUCCCGGCUUACCAACCCGAUGCAAACUGCGAAUACCGGAGAAUGUUAUCACGGGAGACACACGGCGGGUGCUAACGUCCGUCGUGAAGAGGGAAACAACCCAGACCGCCAGCUAAGGUCCCAAAGUCAUGGUUAAGUGGGAAACGAUGUGGGAAGGCCCAGACAGCCAGGAUGUUGGCUUAGAAGCAGCCAUCAUUUAAAGAAAGCGUAAUAGCUCACUGGUCGAGUCGGCCUGCGCGGAAGAUGUAACGGGGCUAAACCAUGCACCGAAGCUGCGGCAGCGAACGUAUCACUUAAAGCGAUUCAGCGGGUUACGAUUGACGGAGCGAAGCGACGUCAAAGCGUAUACAAAGUCGAGUCGGUUUAAGGAUACGUUCGUUGGGUAGGGGAGCGUUCUGUAAGCCCGUGAAGGUGGCCUGUGAGGGUUGCUGGAGGUAUCAGAAGUGCGAAUGCUGACAUAAGUAACGAUAAAGCGGGUGAAAAGCCCGCUCGCCGGAAGACCAAGGGUUCCUGUCCAACGUUAAUCGGGGCAGGGUGAGUCGACCCCUAAGGCGAGGCCGAAAGGCGUAGUCGAUGGGAAACGGGUUAAUAUUCCCGUACUUGGUGUUACUGCGAAGGGGGGACGGAGAAGGCUAUGUUGGCCGGGCGACGGUUGUCCCGGUUUAAGCGUGUAGGUGUGUGUUCCAGGUAAAUCCGGUUCACUUUAACACUGAGGCGUGACGACGAGGCACUACGGUGCUGAAGCAACAAAUGCCCUGCUUCCAGGAAAAGCCUCUAAGCAUCAGGUAACACGAAAUCGUACCCCAAACCGACACAGGUGGUCAGGUAGAGAAUACCAAGGCGCUUGAGAGAACUCGGGUGAAGGAACUAGGCAAAAUGGUGCCGUAACUUCGGGAGAAGGCACGCUGACACGUAGGUGAAGUGAUUUACUCAUGGAGCUGAAGUCAGUCGAAGAUACCAGCUGGCUGCAACUGUUUAUUAAAAACACAGCACUGUGCAAACACGAAAGUGGACGUAUACGGUGUGACGCCUGCCCGGUGCCGGAAGGUUAAUUGAUGGGGUCAGCGCAAGCGAAGCUCCUGAUCGAAGCCCCGGUAAACGGCGGCCGUAACUAUAACGGUCCUAAGGUAGCGAAAUUCCUUGUCGGGUAAGUUCCGACCUGCACGAAUGGCGUAAUGAUGGCCAGGCUGUCUCC